AAGCGUUAUCCGGAAUCACUGGGCGUAAAGGGUGCGUAGGCGGCUUAGCAAGCCAGGGGUGAAAGGCAUUGGCUCAACCAAUGUAAGCCUUUGGAACUGUUAAGCUUGAGUGCAGGAGAGGUAAGUGGAAUUCCUAGUGUAGAGGUGAAAUUCGUAGAUAUUAGGAGGAACACCAGUGGCGAAGGCGACUUACUGGACUGUAACUGACGCUGAUGCACGAAAGCGUGGUAGCGAACAGGAUUAGAUACCCUGGUAG
RNAcentral lists this ribosomal RNA (256 nucleotides) under uncultured bacterium. RNAcentral describes it as "partial 16S ribosomal RNA". It matches the Rfam family "Bacterial small subunit ribosomal RNA", at positions 536 to 793 of the family's 1533-position model. The record is from RNAcentral.